GUGGUUGUAGCUCAGCAGUAGAGCGCUCACCUAGCAUGUGUGAAGUUCUGAGUUCGAUCUUCAGCACCAUA
This 71-nucleotide transfer RNA is filed under the name Urocitellus parryii (Arctic ground squirrel). RNAcentral's name for it is "Spermophilus parryii (Arctic ground squirrel) tRNA". It matches the Rfam family "tRNA". From Rfam's summary of the family: Transfer RNA (tRNA) molecules are approximately 80 nucleotides in length. RNAcentral also lists the same sequence under 1 other name. The record is from Rfam by way of RNAcentral. Lineage: Eukaryota; Metazoa; Chordata; Mammalia; Rodentia; Sciuridae.